UACAGCAGCUCUUUAUACACUGUAUACAGCAGCUGAUACACUGAAGCUCAGCGGGUGUGAGCCCUGUCAGUACCUGGAUGGGAGACCUCCUGGGAAAAACUAAGGUUGCUGCUGGAA
This 117-nucleotide ribosomal RNA is filed under the name Lepisosteus oculatus (spotted gar). Lineage: Eukaryota; Metazoa; Chordata; Actinopteri; Semionotiformes; Lepisosteidae. The record is from RNAcentral.